RNAcentral lists this long non-coding RNA (480 nucleotides) under Oryzias javanicus (javanese ricefish). Its description in RNAcentral is "lncRNA (ENSOJAG00000021353.1)". The record is from RNAcentral. Lineage: Eukaryota; Metazoa; Chordata; Actinopteri; Beloniformes; Adrianichthyidae.
UUUCAAUUAACAGAAUUCGCGCUAGCAAGUCAAGCGUAGCCGCCCAGAUAUUCUUUAACAUUGAUUAAAUAGAGGAUUAACCCAAGAAUUUGUGGAGUAGCGUCACUUUUAAAACUGAAGAGGGAAAAGGAAGACUUCUACAAGCAGCUUCUUCGUGUGUUUCUUCAGAGGGAGCAAUGCAGGAACUUCAUUUAUAAGUAAAAGAUCGGGGUUCAAGAGGACAUCCAGGCCGAGUUUUGAGCCGAGUCUGACAUGACAGCAGCUGCCCCACGUGGAGAUAAAUCUGCCCCUGAAAAACAGGAAGCAGCAGAGGUAUGCUGGGGAAAAUUGGGCGAUUUUCCACUGCAGAGACCCCCCCUUCCCCCUUUUUUUUCCUUGUCAUGUGAUCCGGAGCUGUGGAGUGACUGCAAGGAUGACGACCUCACCCCCAUGUCGCGGCUGACUCACCCCACCCAAACUGCUUUUCUCAUGGAAGUACGC